AAAUUGAAGAGUUUGAUCAUGGCUCAGAUUGAACGCUGGCGGCAGGCCUAACACAUGCAAGUCGAGCGGUAGCACAGAGAGCUUGCUCUCGGGUGACGAGCGGCGGACGGGUGAGUAAUGUCUGGGAAACUGCCUGAUGGAGGGGGAUAACUACUGGAAACGGUAGCUAAUACCGCAUAACGUCGCAAGACCAAAGUGGGGGACCUUCGGGCCUCAUGCCAUCAGAUGUGCCCAGAUGGGAUUAGCUUGUAGGUGGGGUAACGGCUCACCUAGGCGACGAUCCCUAGCUGGUCUGAGAGGAUGACCAGCCACACUGGAACUGAGACACGGUCCAGACUCCUACGGGAGGCAGCAGUGGGGAAUAUUGCACAAUGGGCGCAAGCCUGAUGCAGCCAUGCCGCGUGUGUGAAGAAGGCCUUCGGGUUGUAAAGCACUUUCAGCGGGGAGGAAGGCGUUAAGGUUAAUAACCUUGGCGAUUGACGUUACCCGCAGAAGAAGCACCGGCUAACUCCGUGCCAGCAGCCGCGGUAAUACGGAGGGUGCAAGCGUUAAUCGGAAUUACUGGGCGUAAAGCGCACGCAGGCGGUCUGUCAAGUCGGAUGUGAAAUCCCCGGGCUCAACCUGGGAACUGCAUUCGAAACUGGCAGGCUAGAGUCUUGUAGAGGGGGGUAGAAUUCCAGGUGUAGCGGUGAAAUGCGUAGAGAUCUGGAGGAAUACCGGUGGCGAAGGCGGCCCCCUGGACAAAGACUGACGCUCAGGUGCGAAAGCGUGGGGAGCAAACAGGAUUAGAUACCCUGGUAGUCCACGCCGUAAACGAUGUCGAUUUGGAGGUUGUGCCCUUGAGGCGUGGCUUCCGGAGCUAACGCGUUAAAUCGACCGCCUGGGGAGUACGGCCGCAAGGUUAAAACUCAAAUGAAUUGACGGGGGCCCGCACAAGCGGUGGAGCAUGUGGUUUAAUUCGAUGCAACGCGAAGAACCUUACCUGGUCUUGACAUCCACAGAACUUUCCAGAGAUGGAUUGGUGCCUUCGGGAACUGUGAGACAGGUGCUGCAUGGCUGUCGUCAGCUCGUGUUGUGAAAUGUUGGGUUAAGUCCCGCAACGAGCGCAACCCUUAUCCUUUGUUGCCAGCGGUUCGGCCGGGAACUCAAAGGAGACUGCCAGUGAUAAACUGGAGGAAGGUGGGGAUGACGUCAAGUCAUCAUGGCCCUUACGACCAGGGCUACACACGUGCUACAAUGGCAUAUACAAAGAGAAGCGACCUCGCGAGAGCAAGCGGACCUCAUAAAGUAUGUCGUAGUCCGGAUUGGAGUCUGCAACUCGACUCCAUGAAGUCGGAAUCGCUAGUAAUCGUAGAUCAGAAUGCUACGGUGAAUACGUUCCCGGGCCUUGUACACACCGCCCGUCACACCAUGGGAGUGGGUUGCAAAAGAAGUAGGUAGCUUAACCUUCGGGAGGGCGCUUACCACUUUGUGAUUCAUGACUGGGGUGAAGUCGUAACAAGGUAACCGUAGGGGAACCUGCGGUUGGAUCACCUCCUUA
Molecule: ribosomal RNA, 1540 nt
Filed under: Klebsiella pneumoniae
Lineage: Bacteria; Pseudomonadati; Pseudomonadota; Gammaproteobacteria; Enterobacterales; Enterobacteriaceae
Description: bacterial SSU rRNA
Rfam family: Bacterial small subunit ribosomal RNA
Source: RNAcentral